Long non-coding RNA from Portunus trituberculatus (swimming crab), 548 nucleotides. RefSeq lists it as uncharacterized. The transcript is spliced from 3 exons. NCBI's taxonomy places the organism in Eukaryota, Metazoa, Arthropoda, Malacostraca, Decapoda, Portunidae. The record is from RefSeq and is a predicted model, not a curated record.
CUCUCUCUUACAUCAUUAGUGGUCAGUGAACGUUUUGUGCUAACUUUGACAGGAUCUCUGCCAGACACCGCAGCUCACCAGUCACCUCCACCACAAGUGUGGACCCCGCUACAGAGACCACCACCACUCAUAAGCUUGAUCUAACAGCAGGUUGGGGGGGGGGGGUGUGAGACAAGAACGAAGCAACGUCAGCAGUAGCUGGAACAGUAUUAAUCCAGACACCACGCUCGCUACAUCUCUCCAGCCACCACGCCACCACCGACCCUCGAGUCUACGCAGCCCAGUGUCCGUCUGUGUCUUGUCGUGGGCGUGACGUUCAGCAGCGGCAGGAACAGCAACGGGAAGCUUGAUCUACGUGGGUUUUCGUGCGGCGGGGUGACGUGCCGCUGCUGUGAGGUUAUCGGACCACAGCACAGCACAGCACAGCACAGAGGAGGAGAGGCGUUGACGAUCCAAAGGCCUGACUCCACAGCGGUAAUGAGCCUCGUCUACCUUGCACUUUGACGGACAACGCUCACUACCAACACCUCUGCCUCCGCCACCGCCGU